UACGAAGGGGGCGAGCGUUGUUCGGAAUCACUGGGCGUAAAGGGCGCGUAGGCGGCUUUAUAAGUCGGGGGUGAAAGCCUGUGGCUCAACCACAGAAUUGCCUUCGAUACUGUAGAGCUUGAGACCGGAAGAGGUAAGUGGAACUGCGAGUGUAGAGGUGAAAUUCGUAGAUAUUCGCAAGAACACCAGUGGCGAAGGCGGCUUACUGGUCCGGUUCUGACGCUGAGGCGCGAAAGCGUGGGGAGCAAACAGG
RNAcentral lists this ribosomal RNA (253 nucleotides) under uncultured bacterium. RNAcentral describes it as "partial 16S ribosomal RNA". It matches the Rfam family "Bacterial small subunit ribosomal RNA", at positions 524 to 776 of the family's 1533-position model. The record is from RNAcentral.